GUAGUUGGUCUCGGUUACUUGGAAAGCCCUAACUGUUCCCAACGCUUCACCGGAGAGACACGAAAGCAAAUGGUUGAACUUUUCGAUAAUUGGAAUGCUUUUGUCAUUGUGAACUAGAGUCUCAAAUAAACCUAUGAAGUUUUUAAAGUCCGAAAAGUUGCCGCUGAACUGCGGCAGAGCUAACUUCGGAAGGCGAGCACGAGUUGGGCCACCAUAAGCUGGUACUGCCGGUAUUGUCUCAUCAGCUGUCUUUAAUGCGCAAAUGAGAGACAUUAAUUUUGCCUUUGUGACAUCGGGACCAUGGCCCGAUACCUAUCGAGGACCGUUCUCUUGGGGGCCCAGUGGAUUGGCAAGGCGUUUGUAUCGAUCAGGAGAUCAAGAAGUGGGAGGCCCAGACCGUAUCGCAGGCCCAGUCAGGACAUGCAUAAAUGAUUGGAGGUCUACUCUUCUUAUGUCAAUUCUGCUUGUUUUGAACAACGUGGGCAAAUUCUAAGCCUCGCACUAAGAAACGAUUCACAAAAGCUUUCCUUUCGCCCAUGUAUUUCCCUAAUGUGAAUUGCUAAGCCCGGUGCUAACAGGUGUCGCAGAACGGAAAUGUACUAGACUGUACAGUAUCAGAGCUGCCGAAAUCAAGCCAUGACAUUCAAAUCCACUCAAGAACACGUUGUCAAAAAAUUGGAUUGCUGUAGUUGGCCAUGCUCGGUUCAAAACCAGUCGUAGUACAAGUGAAAGUAUACGAGCUAUUGAAAAAAUCAAACAAUUCAGUAUCGUUUCGGGCUCCAUAGGGGCAACAUGUCCUAAAAAAAACUUAGUUUCGGUUGUAAAAAUAACAAAAUUUUUGUGUUAAAAAUAAAAUUUUCCCAAAAUUGAAAAUGUGAAAAAAACCAGAAGAGCACUUACACAAAUCGGCAGUUAAGGCUAAUGGCAGACAUUCUUAGACGUCGAUAUAUCAGCCAAGACACAUACACGCACAAUGUCAUGCGACACAACGCGUUGCAACGCUGCUAGGAAAGCCCUGUAAACUGAUGUGACGCUCUCCGUUGGAUGGAACAACAUUGGCAACACUGGCACACUCUUAUUUCGAUAUUUGGAAUGAUGGCAUCUUCUACUUCUACGAAUCACAAGGCGACAACUCUACUUAAACUGGCGAACAAUCCUCUACUCUGGUACACAGCCAUCCUUGACGGA
Long non-coding RNA from Drosophila miranda, 1188 nucleotides. RefSeq lists it as uncharacterized. The transcript has 2 exons. Lineage: Eukaryota; Metazoa; Arthropoda; Insecta; Diptera; Drosophilidae. The record is from RefSeq and is a predicted model, not a curated record.